CAGGUCAACUCUGGAGAGCAGCCACUAGACUGGCUCACCGACGGGGCAGGGUGAAAUUCAGGAAAUCCCGGAUUCGGGACGCCCUAUCACUCAAACUCUCAGGUUCGAGGACAGAGGGGCGGCA
Molecule: regulatory RNA element, 124 nt
Rfam family: Glycine riboswitch aptamer
About the family: This family represents the bacterial glycine riboswitch.
Source: Rfam